GGCUCGGUAGUGGAUGGUCCGCAUCUGCAUCUCAUAAUAACGCACUCAGCAUACGCAGACCCCGCCUGUUCGAAUCAGGCCCGAGCCC
Non-coding RNA from Mycena rebaudengoi, 88 nucleotides. The record is from the annotation of a GenBank genome assembly. Lineage: Eukaryota; Fungi; Basidiomycota; Agaricomycetes; Agaricales; Mycenaceae.